CUCUGAGAGGACGACCAGCCACACUGGAACUGAGACACGGUCCAGACUCCUACGGGAGGCAGCAGUGGGGAAUUUUGGACAAUGGGCGCAAGCCUGAUCCAGCAAUGCCGCGUGAGUGAAGAAGGCCUUCGGGUUGUAAAGCUCUUUUGUCAGGGAAGAAACGGUUCUGGAUAAUACCUGGGGCUAAUGACGGUACCUGAAGAAUAAGCACCGGCUAACUGCGUGCCAGCAGCCGCGGUAAUACGUAGGGUGCAAGCGUUAAUCGGAAUUACUGGGCGUAAAGCGUGCGCAGGCGGUUGUGCAAGACAGAUGUGAAAUCCCCGGGCUCAACCUGGGAAUUGCAUUUGUGACUGCACGGCUAGAGUGUGUCAGAGGGGGGUAGAAUUCCACGUGUAGCAGUGAAAUGCGUAGAGAUGUGGAGGAAUACCGAUGGCGAAGGCAGCCCCCUGGGAUAACACUGACGCUCAUGCACGAAAGCGUGGGGAGCAAACAGGAUUAGAUACCCUGGUAGUCCACGCCCUAAACGAUGUCUACUAGUUGUCGGGUCUUAAUUGACUUGGUAACGCAGCUAACGCGUGAAGUAGACCGCCUGGGGAGUACGGUCGCAAGAUUAAAACUCAAAGGAAUUGACGGGGACCCGCACAAGCGGUGGAUGAUGUGGAUUAAUUCGAUGCAACGCGAAAAACCUUACCUACCCUUGACAUGUCUGGAAUCCCUGAGAGAUUAGGGAGUGCUCGAAAGAGAAUCAGAACACAGGUGCUGCAUGGCUGUCGUCAGCUCGUGUCGUGAGAUGUUGGGUUAAGUCCCGCAACGAGCGCAACCCUUGUCAUUAGUUGCUACGAAAGGGCACUCUAAUGAGACUGCCGGUGACAAACCGGAGGAAGGUGGGGAUGACGUCAAGUCCUCAUGGCCCUUAUGGGUAGGGCUUCACACGUCAUACAAUGGUACAUACAGAGGGCCGCCAACCCGCGAGGGGGAGCUAAUCCCAGAAAGUGUAUCGUAGUCCGGAUUGGAGUCUGCAACUCGACUCCAUGAAGUUGGAAUCGCUAGUAAUCGCGGAUCAGCAUGUCGCGGUGAAUACGUUCCCGGGUCUUGUACACACCGCCCGUCACACCAUGGGAGCGGGUUUCACCAGAAGUGGGUAGCCUAACCGCAAGGAGGGCGCUCACCACGGUGGGAUUCGUGACUGGGGUGAAGUCGGAACAAGGUAGCCGUAUCGGAAGGUGCGGCUG
This 1232-nucleotide ribosomal RNA is filed under the name metagenome. RNAcentral's name for it is "bacterial SSU rRNA". It matches the Rfam family "Bacterial small subunit ribosomal RNA", at positions 290 to 1520 of the family's 1533-position model. The record is from RNAcentral.